CGUGGAUUGAUUUGUCUGGUUAAUUCCGAUAACGAACGAGAUUGGAGCUUAAUUAAAUAGAAAGAUCAUUUUCUUCUUCUUCCUUCGGGUUGAGGCGUGAUUCUUUCCUUCUUAAUGGGAUUUGCGGCGUUCCAGUCGUAAGAAACCCAGCUAUAACAGGUCUGUGAUGCCCUAAGUUGUCUGGGGCUGCACGCGCGCUACAAUGAAAAUUGCAGUGCGUGUGACCAUAACCGAAAGGUUUUGGUAAACGAGUCAAAUUAUUCCGUAUUUGGGAUCGAAUAUUGUAAUUAUUAUUCGUGAACGAGGAACUUCAAGUAAGUGUAAGUCAUCAGCUUACGCUGAAUACGUCCCUGCCCUUUGUAC
RNAcentral lists this ribosomal RNA (363 nucleotides) under Nematoda environmental sample. RNAcentral describes it as "SSU rRNA". It matches the Rfam family "Eukaryotic small subunit ribosomal RNA", at positions 1300 to 1665 of the family's 1831-position model. Lineage: Eukaryota; Metazoa; Nematoda. The record is from RNAcentral.